Long non-coding RNA from Cyprinodon tularosa, 1039 nucleotides. RefSeq lists it as uncharacterized. The transcript has 3 exons. The record is from RefSeq and is a predicted model, not a curated record. NCBI's taxonomy places the organism in Eukaryota, Metazoa, Chordata, Actinopteri, Cyprinodontiformes, Cyprinodontidae.
CAGAUAAAGAUCAGUCCUGAUAAAUCACCGACCAGCGAUAGUCUGAUAAUCUCUGAUUUAUUUCAGGUCGGAGCUGCUGGGCUGAAAACUGAUGAUGGGAGGAGAUCAGAGUCAUCAGAAGGAGGCUGAGGAGAGAAGAGGAGGAGCUGAAGAACAUCAGAAACCAGACCAAACAAAGGCUCCAGCUGCUGAAGAGACUCCGGUUGAGUUGCCCCAGUGCAGGAUGGGAAGCAGAAAGGUGGACGACAUGUGUUUCAUGAUCUCAUGCACCAACUGGUAUUGAUCCGCUGGACACUGGGACUGCUGGGAGCUGGUGGAUGAUGUGUUCAUGCUUUUCAUGCAUCAAAUUGGCUGCAUUGCUCAUCCUCUGUUGUAGUUUUAACAGAUUAUUUCUCAUCAAAAUCAGAUAAAUGUUUCAGAAAUCUAACAACAGGAAGUAAAUCUGUCAUUUCUCAGUAUCAUUCUGUAUCAAAAAGCCAAGAAGCUGCUGUAGGGAGGCUGAAGGAUGAAGACAGGGACUGAACAUGAGUCCAACCUGUCAGAAAAAUGUUUGCUGUUGCUUUGCAGUGGAGAGCGGCUGCUUGGAAGUAGAUUUAUGGACUUUUCUCCUCCUAAAAACCCUCAUUAUCAAAGUGGAACUAAAAUCUAUCAUAGAUUGAUUUCUCCACCUUCGCACUUCACUACACACCUCUUCUCCUGCAAACUCAGGCGGAAAGAAGAAUGAUACAUUUGCAACAAAGCUCUGAUGACUGAAGGUUUUCAGACUUUUGACAUGAAACAUUCCUGGUUUGGCAAUAUCAUUUUUUUUCCUCUGAAGGCUUCAGUUUCUCUACAGCUUCAACAGAAAUGAUGAACUGAUCAAUGGAAGGUGAUUGAACUGUAUGAGCAGAUUUAUGAGAGUAAUUGUUGCAGAAUAAGAUGAAAACUAAAAGAUAAUAAAUCAUUUCUGAGUUUUUGUUGAUCAGCUCAGAUUUUUGUCUGUCAUCUAUUGUUGGAGAAUGUUUGAAAAUAAGCAGCAGCAUGGAGACCAAGGAGCCCA